This 81-nucleotide transfer RNA is filed under the name Achromobacter marplatensis. RNAcentral describes it as "tRNA-Pro(cgg)". The record is from RNAcentral. Lineage: Bacteria; Pseudomonadati; Pseudomonadota; Betaproteobacteria; Burkholderiales; Alcaligenaceae.
CUGGGCGAUUUUGCUCGCGCCGCGAAGACCACUGCGUUCGGGACGCAGGAGUCGGAGGUUCGAAUCCUCUCGCCCCGACCA